This 855-nucleotide ribosomal RNA is filed under the name uncultured bacterium. Its description in RNAcentral is "bacterial SSU rRNA". It matches the Rfam family "Bacterial small subunit ribosomal RNA", at positions 1 to 848 of the family's 1533-position model. The record is from RNAcentral.
GAAUUCCCCCUUAGAGUUUGAUCCUGGCUCAGGACGAACGCUGGCGGCGUGCCUAACACAUGCAAGUCGAACGGGGUUACUAUGGAAGAACCUUCGGGUUUGGAAGUUUUAACUUAGUGGCGAACGGGUGAGUAACGCGUGAGAAACCUGCCUUUCAGUGGGGGACAACAGUUGGAAACGACUGCUAAUACCGCAUAACAUACCGAGGGGGCAUCCCCAUGGUAUCAAAGCUUAAUGUGCUGAAAGAUGGUCUCGCGUCUGAUUAGCUAGAUGGCGGGGUAACGGCCCACCAUGGCGACGAUCAGUAGCCGGUCUGAGAGGAUGAACGGCCACAUUGGGACUGAGAUACGGCCCAGACUCCUACGGGAGGCAGCAGUGGGGAAUAUUGGGCAAUGGGGGAAACCCUGACCCAGCAACGCCGCGUGAAGGAAGAAGGCUUUCGGGUUGUAAACUUCUUUUAGCAGGGACGAAGGACGUGACGGUACCUGCAGAAAAAGCAACGGCUAACUACGUGCCAGCAGCCGCGGUAAUACGUAGGUUGCAAGCGUUGUCCGGAAUUACUGGGUGUAAAGGGCGUGUAGGCGGAGGUGCAAGUUGGGAGUGAAAUCCCGGGGCUCAACCCCGGAACUGCUUUCAAAACUGCAUCCCUUGAGUGUCGGAGAGGCAAGCGGAAUUCCUAGUGUAGCGGUGAAAUGCGUAGAUAUUAGGAGGAACACCAGUGGCGAAGGCGGCUUGCUGGACGAUAACUGACGCUGAGGCGCGAAAGCGUGGGGAGCAAACAGGAUUAGAUACCCUGGUAGUCCACGCUGUAAACGAUGAAUACUAGGUGUGGGAGGACUGACCCCUUCCGUGCCG